RNAcentral lists this ribosomal RNA (360 nucleotides) under Psychrobacter sp. R10.65. Its description in RNAcentral is "bacterial SSU rRNA". It matches the Rfam family "Bacterial small subunit ribosomal RNA", at positions 149 to 506 of the family's 1533-position model. The record is from RNAcentral. Lineage: Bacteria; Pseudomonadati; Pseudomonadota; Gammaproteobacteria; Moraxellales; Moraxellaceae.
CGGGGAAACUCGUAUUAAUACCGCAUACGACCUACGGGAGAAAGGGGGCAGUUUACNGCUCUCGCUAUUAGAUGAGCCUAAGUCGGAUUAGCUAGAUGGUGGGGUAAAGGCCUACCAUGGCGACGAUCUGUAGCUGGUCUGAGAGGAUGAUCAGCCACACCGGGACUGAGACACGGCCCGGACUCCUACGGGAGGCAGCAGUGGGGAAUAUUGGACAAUGGGGGAAACCCUGAUCCAGCCAUGCCGCGUGUGUGAAGAAGGCCUUUUGGUUGUAAAGCACUUUAAGCAGUGAAGAAGACUCUUCGGUUAAUACCCGGAGACGAUGACAUUAGCUGCAGAAUAAGCACCGGCUAACUCUGU